Molecule: ribosomal RNA, 1343 nt
Filed under: uncultured bacterium
Lineage: Bacteria
Description: 16S ribosomal RNA
Rfam family: Bacterial small subunit ribosomal RNA
Source: RNAcentral
GACGAACGCUGGCGGCGUGCUUAACACAUGCAAGUCGAACGGAAAGGCCCUGCUUUUGUGGGGUGCUCGAGUGGCGAACGGGUGAGUAACACGUGAGUAACCUGCCCUUGACUUUGGGAUAACUUCAGGAAACUGGGGCUAAUACCGGAUAGGAGCUCCUGCUGCAUGGUGGGGGUUGGAAAGUUUCGGCGGUUGGGGAUGGACUCGCGGCUUAUCAGCUUGUUGGUGGGGUAGUGGCUUACCAAGGCUUUGACGGGUAGCCGGCCUGAGAGGGUGACCGGCCACAUUGGGACUGAGAUACGGCCCAGACUCCUACGGGAGGCAGCGGUGGGGAAUAUUGCACAAUGGGCGGAAGCCUGAUGCAGCAACGCCGCGUGCGGGAUGACGGCCUUCGGGUUGUAAACCGCUUUCGCCUGUGACGAAGCGUGAGUGACGGUAAUGGGUAAAGAAGCACCGGCUAACUACGUGCCAGCAGCCGCGGUGAUACGUAGGGUGCGAGCGUUGUCCGGAUUUAUUGGGCGUAAAGGGCUCGUAGGUGGUUGAUCGCGUCGGAAGUGUAAUCUUGGGGCUUAACCCUGAGCGUGCUUUCGAUACGGGUUGACUUGAGGAAGGUAGGGGAGAAUGGAAUUCCUGGUGGAGCGGUGGAAUGCGCAGAUAUCAGGAGGAACACCAGUGGCGAAGGCGGUUCUCUGGGCCUUUCCUGACGCUGAGGAGCGAAAGCGUGGGGAGCGAACAGGCUUAGAUACCCUGGUAGUCCACGCUGUAAACGGUGGGUACUAGGUGUGGGGUCCAUUCCACGGGUUCCGUGCCGUAGCUAACGCUUUAAGUACCCCGCCUGGGGAGUACGGCCGCAAGGCUAAAACUCAAAGGAAUUAACGGGGCCCCGCACAAGCGGCGGAGCAUGCGGAUUAAUUCGAUGCAACGCGUAGAACCUUACCUGGGUUUGACAUGGAUCGGGAGCGCUCAGAGAUGGGUGUGCCUCUUUUGGGGUCGGUUCACAGGUGGUGCAUGGCUGUCGUCAGCUCGUGUCGUGAGAUGCUGGGUUAAGUCCCGCAACGAGCGCAACCCUUGUUCACUGUUGCCAGCACGUUAUGGUGGGGACUCAGUGGAGACCGCCGGGGUCAACUCGGAGGAAGGUGGGGAUGACGUCAAGUCAUCAUGCCCCUUAUGUCCAGGGCUUCACGCAUGCUACAAUGGCUGGUACAGAGAGUGGCGAGCCUGUGAGGGUGAGCGAAUCUCGGAAAGCCGGUCUCAGUUCGGAUUGGGGUCUGCAACUCGACCUCAUGAAGUCGGAGUCGCUAGUAAUCGCAGAUCAGCAACGCUGCGGUGAAUACGUUCCCGGG